AGUGAACGCUGGCGGUAGGCCUAACACAUGCAAGUCGAACGGCAGCACAGUAAGAGCUUGCUCUUACGGGUGGCGAGUGGCGGACGGGUGAGGAAUACAUCGGAAUCUACUUUUUCGUGGGGGAUAACGUAGGGAAACUUACGCUAAUACCGCAUACGACCUGCGGGUGAAAGCAGGGGAUCUUCGGACCUUGCGCGAUUGAAUGAGCCGAUGUCGGAUUAGCUAGUUGGCGGGGUAAAGGCCCACCAAGGCGACGAUCCGUAGCUGGUCUGAGAGGAUGAUCAGCCACACUGGAACUGAGACACGGUCCAGACCCCUACGGGAGGCAGCAGUGGGGAAUAUUGGACAAUGGGCGCAAGCCUGAUCCAGCCAUACCGCGUGGGUGAAGAAGGCCUUCGGGUUGUAAAGCCCUUUUGUUGGGAAAGAAAAGCAGCAGGUUAAUACCCCGCUGUUCUGACGGUACCCAAAGAAUAAGCACCGGCUAACUUCGUG
RNAcentral lists this ribosomal RNA (492 nucleotides) under uncultured bacterium. Its description in RNAcentral is "partial 16S ribosomal RNA". It matches the Rfam family "Bacterial small subunit ribosomal RNA", at positions 29 to 507 of the family's 1533-position model. The record is from RNAcentral.